UACGUAGGGGGCAAGCGUUGUCCGGAUUCAUUGGGCGUAAAGAGCUCGUAGGCGGUUCAGUAAGUCGGGUGUGAAAGCUCCGAGCUCAACUCGGAGAGGCCACCCGAUACUGCUGUGACUUGAGUCCAGUAGAGGAGCGUGGAACUCCUGGUGUAGCGGUGGAAUGCGCAGAUAUCAGGAAGAACACCUGCAGCGAAGGCGGCGCUCUGGGCUGGAACUGACGCUGAGGAGCGAAAGCAUGGGUAGCAAACAGG
This 254-nucleotide ribosomal RNA is filed under the name uncultured bacterium. RNAcentral describes it as "partial 16S ribosomal RNA". It matches the Rfam family "Bacterial small subunit ribosomal RNA", at positions 524 to 776 of the family's 1533-position model. The record is from RNAcentral.